Molecule: ribosomal RNA, 301 nt
Filed under: uncultured bacterium
Lineage: Bacteria
Description: partial 16S ribosomal RNA
Rfam family: Bacterial small subunit ribosomal RNA
Source: RNAcentral
CAGUCGCCGCGGGAAAACGAAGGGGGCUAGCGUUGCUCGGAAUGACUGGGCGUAAAGGGCGCGUAGGCGGCACAGACAGUCAGAAGUGAAAUUCCUGGGCUCAACCUGGGGACUGCUUUUGAUACGUCUGAGCUAGAGUGGAGAAGAGGGUUGUGGAAUUUCCAGUGUAGAGGUGAAAUUCGUAGAUAUUGGAAAGAACACCGGUGGCGAAGGCGGCAACCUGGUCUUUUACUGACGCUGAGGCGCGAAAGCGUGGGGAGCAAACAGGAUUAGAUACCCGCGUAGUCCCUGUCUCUUAUAC